AUUGAACGCUGGCGGCAUGCCUUACACAUGCAAGUCGAACGGCAGCGGACCUUCGGGUGCCGGCGAGUGGCGAACGGGUGAGUAAUAUAUCGGAACGUACCUUUCAGUGGGGGAUAACGUAGCGAAAGUUACGCUAAUACCGCAUAUUCUGUGAGCAGGAAAGCAGGGGAUCGCAAGACCUUGCGCUGAUUGAGCGGCCGAUAUCAGAUUAGCUAGUUGGUGAGGUAAAGGCUCACCAAGGCGACGAUCUGUAGCGGGUCUGAGAGGAUGAUCCGCCACACUGGAACUGAGACACGGUCCAGACUCCUACGGGAGGCAGCAGUGGGGAAUUUUUGGACAAUGGGCGCAAGCCUGAUCCAGCCAUGCCGCGUGAGUGAAGAAGGCC
Molecule: ribosomal RNA, 385 nt
Filed under: uncultured bacterium
Lineage: Bacteria
Description: bacterial SSU rRNA
Rfam family: Bacterial small subunit ribosomal RNA
Source: RNAcentral